RNAcentral lists this ribosomal RNA (500 nucleotides) under uncultured bacterium. Its description in RNAcentral is "partial 16S ribosomal RNA". It matches the Rfam family "Bacterial small subunit ribosomal RNA", at positions 28 to 523 of the family's 1533-position model. The record is from RNAcentral.
GACGAACGCUGGCUGCGUGCUUAACACAUGCAAGUCGAACGCUGAAGCCAGAAGCUUGCUUCUGGUGGAUGAGUGGCGAACGGGUGAGUAACACGUGAGUAACCUGCCCCGGAUUUCAGGAUAAGCCUGGGAAACCGGGUCUAAUACCGGAUAUGACUCAUGAUCGCAUGGUUGUGGGUGGAAAGCCAGUUACAAUUGUUUCUGGCGGUGGGGGAUGGGCCCGCGGCCUAUCAGCUUGUUGGUGGGGUGAUGGCCUACCAAGGCGACGACGGGUAGCCGGCCGGAGAGGGCGACCGGCCACACUGGGACUGAGACACGGCCCAGACUCCUACGGGAGGCAGCAGUGGGGAAUAUUGCGCAAUGGGCGGAAGCCUGACGCAGCGACGCCGCGUGGGGGAUGACGGCCUUCGGGUUGUAAACCUCUUUCGGCCCCGACGAAGCGUGAGUGACGGUAGGGGUAGAAGAAGCACCGGCCAACUUCGUGCCAGCCGCCGCGGUAA